GGCGGUUAUAUGCUUGUCUCAAAGGCUAAGCCAUGCAUGUCUAAGUUCAAAUGUCCUAAAAGGUGAAACCGCGAACGGCUCAUUACAACAGCUAUUAUUUACUUGAUCUUGACAUCCUACGUGGAUAACUGUGGUAAUUCUAGAGCUAAUACAUGCACCAAAGCUCCGAUUUUUGACGAGCGCAUCUAUUAGACUAAAACCAAUCGGGCUUCGGCUCGUGUUUUGGUGACUCUGAAUAGCUACAGCUGAUCGCAUGGUCUUGUACCGGCGACGUGUCUAUCAAGUGUCUGCCUUAUCAACUUUCGAUGGUAGUUUAUGUGCCUACCAUGGUUGUUACGGGUAACGGAGAAUAAGGGUUCGACUCCGGAGAGGGAGCCUGAGAAACGGCUACCACAUCCAAGGAAGGCAGCAGGCGCGCAAAUUACCCACUCUCGGCAUGAGGAGGUAGUGACGAAAAAUAACGAGAUCGUUCUCUUUGAGGCCGGUUAUCGGAAUGGGUACAAUUUAAACCCGUUAACGAGGAUCUAUGAGAGGGCAAGUCUGGUGCCAGCAGCCGCGGUAAUUCCAGCUCUCAAAGUGUAUAUCGUCAUUGCUGCGGUUAAAAAGCUCGUAGUUGGAUCUGCGCUUGAGGACUCGGUCCACCCGUUGGGUGAGAACUGGGCUUCUCGGCUAGAAUAUGUUGGUUUUCCCUGCGUUGCCUUUACCGGUCGCGUAGGGUGGCUGACGAGUUUACUUUGAAAAAAUUAGAGUGCUUAAAGCGGGCUUUAAGUCUGAAUAUUUGUGCAUGGAAUAAUAGAAUAGGAUUUCGGUUCUAUUUUGUUGGUUUUCUGAACUGAGAUAAUGGUUAAGAGGGACAGACGGGGGCAUUCGUAUCGCUGCGUGAGAGGUGAAAUUCUUGGACCGUAGCGAGACGCCCGACUGCGAAAGCAUUUGCCAAGAAUGUCUUCAUUAAUCAAGAACGAAAGUCAGAGGUUCGAAGGCGAUCAGAUACCGCCCUAGUUCUGACCGUAAACGAUACCAACUAGCGUUCCGUCGCUGGCAAACACGCCUUGACGGGCAGCUUCCCGGAAACGAAAGUUUUUCGGUUCCGGGGGAAGUAUGGUUGCAAAGCUGAAACUUAAAGAAAUUGACGGAAGGGCACCACCAGGAGUGGAGCCUGCGGCUUAAUUUGACUCAACACGGGAAAACUCACCUGGCCCGGACACCGUGAGGAUUGACAGAUUGAGAGCUCUUUCUUGAUUCGGUGGUUGGUGGUGCAUGGCCGUUCUUAGUUGGUGGAGUGAUUUGUCUGGUUUAUUCCGAUAACGAGCGAGACUCUAGCCUACUAAAUAGUUACUGGAUAAUUGUGUCCAGAAGACUUCUUAGAGGGACAAGCGGUGUUCAGCCGCACGAAGUUGAGCAAUAACAGGUCUGUGAUGCCCUUAGAUGUCCAGGGCUGCACGCGCGCUACACUGGAGGAAUCAGCGUGUUGUAACCAUUUCCGAAAGGGAUUGGUAACCCCUUGAAAAUCCUCCGUGAUCGGGAUCGGGAAUUGCAAUUAUUUCCCUUGAACGAGGAAUUCCUAGUAAGUGUGAGUCAUCAGCUCACGUUGAUUACGUCCCUGCCCUUUGUACACACCGCCCGUCGCUGCCCGGGACUGAGCCGUUUCGAGAAAAGCGGGGACUGCUGUUUCGAAACCUUUCGGGGUGGAGAUUCUUUGGUGGAAACCGCCUUUAUCGCAGUGGCUUGAACCCGGGCAAAAGUCGUAACAAGGUUUCC
This 1758-nucleotide ribosomal RNA is filed under the name Thelastomatidae sp. Pa-nem-L. RNAcentral describes it as "SSU rRNA". It matches the Rfam family "Eukaryotic small subunit ribosomal RNA". The record is from RNAcentral. Lineage: Eukaryota; Metazoa; Nematoda; Chromadorea; Rhabditida; Thelastomatidae.